GAUGAACGCUGGCGGCGUGCCUAAUACAUGCAAGUCGAGCGAACGGACGAGAAGCUUGCUUCUCUGAUGUUAGCGGCGGACGGGUGAGUACCACGUGGAUAACCUACCUAUAAGACUGGGAUAACUUCGGGAAACCGGAGCUAAUACAGGAUAAUAUUUUGAACCUCAUGGUUCAAAAGUGAAAGACGGUCUUGCUGUCACUUAUAGAUGUAUCCGCGCUGCAUUAGCUAGUUGGUAAGGUAACGGCUUACCAAGGCAACGAUGCAUAGCCGACCUGAGAGGGUGAUCAGCCACACUGGAACUGAGACACGGUCCAGACUCCUACGGGAGGCAGCAGUGGGGAAUCUUCCGCAAAGGGCGAAAGCCUGACGGAGCAACGCCGCGUGAGUGAUGAAGGUCUUCGGAUCGUAAAACUCUGUUAUUAGGGAAGAACAUAUGUGUAAGUAACUGUGCACAUCUUGACGGUACCUAAUCAGAAAGCCACGGCUAACUACGUG
Molecule: ribosomal RNA, 497 nt
Filed under: uncultured bacterium
Lineage: Bacteria
Description: partial 16S ribosomal RNA
Rfam family: Bacterial small subunit ribosomal RNA
Source: RNAcentral